CCUACGGGAGGCAGCAGUCGAGAAUCAUUCACAAUGGGGGAAACUCUGAUGGAGCGACGCCGCGUGGGGGAAUGAAGGUCUUCGGAUUGUAAACCCCUGUCAUGUGGGAGCAAAUUAAAAAGAUAGUACCACAAGAGGAAGAGACGGCUAACUCUGUGCCAGCAGCCGCGGUAAUACAGAGGUCUCAAGCGUUGUUCGGAAUCACUGGGCGUAAAGCGUGCGUAGGCUGUUUCGUAAGGCGGGUGUGAAAGGCGCGGGCUCAACCCGCGGAUGGCACAUGAUACUGCGAGACUAGAGUAAUGGAGAGGGAACCGGAAUUCUCGGUGUAGCAGUGAAAUGCGUAGAUAUCGCGAGGAACACUCGUGGCGAAGGCGGGUUCCUGGACAUUAACUGACGCUGAGGCACGAAGGCCAGGGGAGCGAAAGGGAUUAGAUACCCUUGUAGUC
This 446-nucleotide ribosomal RNA is filed under the name uncultured bacterium. Its description in RNAcentral is "partial 16S ribosomal RNA". It matches the Rfam family "Bacterial small subunit ribosomal RNA", at positions 338 to 795 of the family's 1533-position model. The record is from RNAcentral.